RNAcentral lists this long non-coding RNA (800 nucleotides) under Heterocephalus glaber (naked mole-rat). Its description in RNAcentral is "lncRNA (ENSHGLG00000040186.1)". The record is from RNAcentral. Lineage: Eukaryota; Metazoa; Chordata; Mammalia; Rodentia; Bathyergidae.
CAAUGGCAUCACUGUGGCCCUGCAUGACCACCAGUGUCACUUGGGCAGAAACACAGGAUUUGUCUGCACCCUGGACCGCCCACUCCUCAAGCCACCAGUGCUGACUGCCACUGCCCAGGUCCACCUUGCUGUGCACACCCAGCCCUCAGCCAGUGCCCAUGUAGAGCGCAAGGACAGAGGAGACGUGGCUUCUCUGCACAAGGGUCAUGCUCAGCCUGUAAGAGGAGGAAACUCUAAGAUACCCAGGACUAACCCUGACCAAGGAGGAAGAGAACUCCACAAUGAAGAUGACAGAUUGCUUUCUCAAGGAAGAGCAAAGAAAUAUAUGAAAAAAUGUUCAGCAUCACUGGUCAUUCGAGAGAUGCAAAUGAACACAACACUGAGAUUCCACCUCACUCCAGAAAGAAUGGCUGCUAUCAUGAAAUCAACCAAUAACCAAUGCUAGUGGGGCUGUGGGGAAAGAGGAACCCUGUUCCACUGCUGGUGGGAGUGUAGACUGGUGCAAGCACUGUGGAAAUCAGUAUGGAGAUACCUCAAAGAACUAGGACUGGAAGUCCCAUUUGACCCAGCUAUUCCCCUGCUGGGGAUCUUCCCCAAAGAAUUAAAAGAAUCAUACCACAGUGAUAUAUGUGCACCCAUGUUCUUAGCAGCACAAUUUGUAAUAGUUAAAACUUGGAAACAGCCCCAAUGCCCAUCAACUGGAGACUGGAUAAAGAAAAUGUGGGUUUUUUUUUUAAUAAAAUAGAGUACUACUUGGCCAUAAAAAAUGAGAAAUUAGAGACAUUUAUAGCUAAUUGGAU